GGGCGCGUGGCUCAGUCUGGCAGAGCACCUGCAUGACGCGCAGGGGGUCGGGGGUUCGAAUCCCUCCGCGCCCA
Molecule: transfer RNA, 74 nt
Filed under: Acidimicrobiia bacterium
Lineage: Bacteria; Bacillati; Actinomycetota; Acidimicrobiia
Also listed under: 2 other names
Description: tRNA-Val
Rfam family: tRNA
About the family: Transfer RNA (tRNA) molecules are approximately 80 nucleotides in length. Their secondary structure includes four short double-helical elements and three loops (D, anti-codon, and T loops).
Source: RNAcentral